GGCGGCGUGCCUAACACAUGCAAGUCGAGCGAGGAGAUCCUUCGGGAUGAUCCUAGCGGCGGACGGGUGAGUAACACGUGGGCAACCUGCCUCAUAGAGAGGAAUAGCCUUCCGAAAGGGAGAUUAAUACCUCAUAACAUUGCAGUUUCGCAUGGAACAGCAAUUAAAGGAGUAAUCCGCUAUGAGAUGGGGCCCGCGGCGCAUUAGCUAGUUGGUGAGGUAACGGCUCACCAAGGCGACGAUGCGUAGCCGACCUGAGAGGGUGAUCGGCCACAUUGGGACUGAGACACGGCCCAGACUCCUACGGGAGGCAGCAGUGGGGAAUAUUGCACAAUGGGGGGAAACCCUGAUGCAAGCAACGCCGCGUGAGUGAUGACGGCCUUCGGGUUGUAAAGCUCUGUCUUCAGGGACGAUAAUGACGGUACCUGAGGAGGAAGCCACGGCUAACUACGUGCCAGCAGCGGC
Molecule: ribosomal RNA, 465 nt
Filed under: uncultured bacterium
Lineage: Bacteria
Description: bacterial SSU rRNA
Rfam family: Bacterial small subunit ribosomal RNA
Source: RNAcentral